This 304-nucleotide ribosomal RNA is filed under the name uncultured bacterium. Its description in RNAcentral is "partial 16S ribosomal RNA". It matches the Rfam family "Bacterial small subunit ribosomal RNA", at positions 509 to 807 of the family's 1533-position model. The record is from RNAcentral.
CAGCAGCCGCCACGGUAAUACGAAGGGGGCUAGCGUUGUUCGGAUUUACUGGGCGUAAAGGGCGCGUAGGCGGACUGAUAAGUCAGGGGUGAAAUCCCAAGGCUCAACCUUGGAACUGCCUUUGAUACUGUUUGUCUUGAGUUCGAGAGAGGUAAGUGGAACUGCGAAUGUAGAGGUGAAAUUCGUAGAUAUUCGCAAGAACACCAGUGGCGAAGGCGGCUUACUGGCUCGAAACUGACGCUGAGGCGCGAAAGCGUGGGGAGCAAACAGGAUUAGAUACCCGCGUAGUCCCUGUCUCUUAUAC